This 468-nucleotide ribosomal RNA is filed under the name uncultured bacterium. RNAcentral describes it as "partial 16S ribosomal RNA". It matches the Rfam family "Bacterial small subunit ribosomal RNA", at positions 28 to 507 of the family's 1533-position model. The record is from RNAcentral.
GAUGAACGCUGGCGGCGUGCUUAACACAUGCAAGUCGAACGGAAAGGCCCUGCUUUCGUGGGGUGCUCGAGUGGCGAACGGGUGAGUAACACGUGAGUAACCUGCCCCUGACUUUGGGAUAACUUCAGGAAACUGGGGCUAAUACCGGAUAGGAGCUCCUGCUGCAUGGUGGGGGUUGGAAAGUUUCGGCGGUUGGGGAUGGACUUGCGGCUUUUCAGCUGGUUGGUGGGGUAGUGGCUUACCAAGGCUUUGACGGGUAGCUGGCCUGAGAGGGUGACCGGCCACAUUGGGACUGAGAUACGGCCCAGACUCCUACGGGAGGCAGCAGUGGGGAAUAUUGCACAAUGGGCGGAAGCCUGAUGCAGCAACGCCGCGUGCGGGAUGACGGCCUUCGGUUUGUAAACCGCUUUCGCCUGUGACGAAGCGUGAGUGACGGUAAUGGGUAAAGAAGCACCGGCUAACUACGUG